GCUGUUUUGGCAGAUAAGUGCAAUGGAUUUAGAAUCUAUAAAUGUAAUUUAAAUUACAAAUAGUA
RNAcentral lists this transfer RNA (65 nucleotides) under Macropanesthia heppleorum. Its description in RNAcentral is "tRNA-Leu". It matches the Rfam family "tRNA". Rfam says of the family: Transfer RNA (tRNA) molecules are approximately 80 nucleotides in length. Their secondary structure includes four short double-helical elements and three loops (D, anti-codon, and T loops). Further hydrogen bonds mediate the characteristic L-shaped molecular structure. tRNAs have two regions of fundamental functional importance: the anti-codon, which is responsible for specific mRNA codon recognition, and the 3' end, to which the tRNAs corresponding amino acid is attached (by aminoacyl-tRNA synthetases). tRNAs cope with the degeneracy of the genetic code in two manners: having more than one tRNA (with a specific anti-codon) for a particular amino acid; and 'wobble' base-pairing, i.e. permitting non-standard base-pairing at the 3rd anti-codon position. Lineage: Eukaryota; Metazoa; Arthropoda; Insecta; Blattodea; Blaberidae. The record is from RNAcentral. RNAcentral also lists the same sequence under 1 other name.